GGACCCGCACAAGUAGUGGAGCAUGUGGUUUAAUUCGAAGAUACGCGCAGAACCUUACCAACACUUGACAUGUUCGUCGCGACUCUAAGAGAUUAGAGUUUUCGGUUCGGCCGGACGAAACACAGGUGCUGCAUGGCUGUCGUCAGCUCGUGUCGUGAGAUGUUGGGUUAAGUCCCGCAACGAGCGCAACCCUCACUUUUAGUUGCCAUCAUUUAGUUGGGCACUCUGAAAGAACUGCCAGUGAUAAGCUGGAGGAAGGUGGGGAUGACGUCAAGUCCUCAUGGCCCUUACGUGUUGGGGCUACACACGUGCUACAAUGGUAUCUACAACAGGAAGCAAAACUGCGAAGUUAAGCAAAUCCUUAAAAGAUACCUCAGUUCGGAUUGCACUCUGCAACUCGAGUGCAUGAAGCUGGAAUU
This 419-nucleotide ribosomal RNA is filed under the name uncultured bacterium. RNAcentral describes it as "bacterial SSU rRNA". It matches the Rfam family "Bacterial small subunit ribosomal RNA", at positions 917 to 1333 of the family's 1533-position model. The record is from RNAcentral.